UCGACUUUGGGAUAACUUCAGGAAACUGGGGCUAAUACCGGAUAGGAGCUCCUGCUGCAUGGUGGGGGUUGGAAAGUUUCGGCGGUUGGGGAUGGACUCGCGGCUUAUCAGCUUGUUGGUGGGGUAGUGGCUUACCAAGGCUUUGACGGGUAGCCGGCCUGAGAGGGUGACCGGCCACAUUGGGACUGAGAUACGGCCCAG
This 201-nucleotide ribosomal RNA is filed under the name uncultured Actinomycetales bacterium. RNAcentral's name for it is "partial 16S ribosomal RNA". It matches the Rfam family "Bacterial small subunit ribosomal RNA", at positions 132 to 334 of the family's 1533-position model. The record is from RNAcentral. Lineage: Bacteria; Bacillati; Actinomycetota; Actinomycetes; Actinomycetales.